GUAGGUGAACCUGCGGAAGGAUCAUUAAAGGUUUUCGUCGGCCCUCUGAAAAGGGGGAGUUCGACGGCCAAGAUCAACCACUGUGCGCAUAUAUUGAAAUCAUUAUUGCUUUUGGUAGGUUCCCUUCGAAAAAAAUUAAUUUUUUUUUUGGGAGGAGCGCCUGCCAAGAGUAUUUUCAAAAUCAGCCUUAUUUUUUGACUGAACUUUUUUUUAAAUAAAAUUUAAUACAACUUUCAACAACGGAUCUCUUGGCUCUC
Molecule: unclassified non-coding RNA, 257 nt
Filed under: rhizosphere metagenome
Description: partial ribosomal RNA internal transcribed spacer region
Source: RNAcentral